RNAcentral lists this ribosomal RNA (259 nucleotides) under uncultured prokaryote. RNAcentral describes it as "partial 16S ribosomal RNA". It matches the Rfam family "Bacterial small subunit ribosomal RNA", at positions 524 to 782 of the family's 1533-position model. The record is from RNAcentral.
UACGUAGGUGGCGAGCGUUAUCCGGAAUUAUUGGGCGUAAAGAGCGCGCAGGUGGUUGAUUAAGUCUGAUGUGAAAGCCCACGGCUUAACCGUGGAGGGUCAUUGGAAACUGGUCGACUUGAGUGCAGAAGAGAGAAGUGGAAUUCCAUGUGUAGCGGUGAAAUGCGUAGAGAUAUGGAGGAACACCAGUGGCGAAGGCGGCUUCCUGGUCUGUAACUGACACUGAGGCGCGAAAGCGUGGGGAGCAAACAGGAUUAGA